RNAcentral lists this ribosomal RNA (3085 nucleotides) under Triticum aestivum (bread wheat). RNAcentral's name for it is "partial small subunit ribosomal RNA". The record is from RNAcentral. Lineage: Eukaryota; Viridiplantae; Streptophyta; Magnoliopsida; Poales; Poaceae.
ACCAGGACGGCGCACACACCGCAUCUCCCCUGGCUUCUUUUCUCACAAAUCACGGCGGCUUCUCUGCGCACAACAGCCCACCAUCGCCCGCAUCUUGUGCUGCGGGUGCCCCGGCGACAGCUGGCUGGAGACCAGGGAGCUACGAGCAUGGGGAUACAGCGCUACGACCCACUACAGCCGGCGGUUGGCGGAGCUGCAUACAACGAUGCCGCCCAACUGGGAGCUGCAACCGGCGGUUUGGCUGGAGCUGCAUGCCUGCAUCCAGCGGCGCUGCUCGACGACGAGCUGCAACCGUUCAGUUUGGAGGUGCAUCCAGGGCGAGGAGGGAUGCAUCCAAUGGCGAACGCCGACGACAAGAAGCAACCGUGAAAUAAGAAGCUGGAAUCAGCCUCACCCUUUCAACGGCAGACCUGCAUCCAUGGACGCCGGACUGUGACCGGCAUUUUUGGGGAGCUGCAAGGUGGGCUAUUUGCUGAUAUGUUUUUUUCUGGAACUCGAGUUUUUUUUUGCUGGAACUGAUGUAAAUUUUGCUUCAAACGAUCAUCGCAUUUCUAAUUGCUGAGUUUGUUUUUUGCUGGAACCGUAGUUAUUUUUUGCUGGAACCGUAGUUAAGUUUUGCUGGAACUAGAUAAAUUUGUGCUUCAAACGAUUACCGAAGUUUCUAGUUGUUCAGUUCGUUUUGCUGGAACCGUAGUAAUUUUUUGCUGGAAUUGGAAUAAAUUUUUUGCUUCAAGCAAUUUUACUCGUUUUGCAGUUUCUCUGGUCGUUUUGCUGGAACCGCAGUUUUUUUUUCUUCUGCCGGAACCAGUUUUUGGUUUUGCUGCAACUGACCAUCAGAGUUUUUUUCGGGUGAGAUAUGUUUUUUGGCUGGAACAUGAUGGUGCAGGUCAACGACGGCGGCAAGCCAGAGGCGGCGCUGUCGUGCUAUGAUCAGCACUGCGAGUUGCUGGAACCGGCGUUGGGCAGUGCUACAUCCGGGCAAGGGUGGUGCUGGAACGACGACAAGAUGAGGAGGGGAAUUCGAGCUGCGAAGUGAGGCGGCGACCGGCGGAGGUUCGGUGAGCGACGACGUGCGGCGGGCAGUGCUAUGCGCGUGGGGAGCGUGCAUUGGGAUUUCCCCUUUUUCUCUCGCAGUCAGUGCACGGAAGAAGGCGACUCAAGGGAAAGCGUCAAUUGACGGCUAUUAAUGGGGAAAUCAGACGGCUGCGCGGUGACCGGCCUAAUUUGGGCCGGUCGACCGGCGCCUAUCAUUGCCCAACAUGUUUAUCUUAAAUUUUUACUUUACAAAGUUACUACGUCGGAAAAAAGUGUCCGCAAAAUCGAUUUUGCGCCGAGAUUGCUGUGCUACAAAUGCUCUAACAUACUCUUCGGCUUGAGAAAACUGCGGCUUGACCUUUCCCAAAUUUCCCCACCUACCUCCCGAGCCCAAACCCCUCUAUUCGCACCUCCGUCCUCCCCGCGGUUUCUAGAUGACUCGAGAAGCGAUGCGGAGGAAGGCGAAGGCCGUGCCGGAGUGGCUGAACAGCCCGCUCUGGUCGACCCCGCCGCUCGCCUCGACCCCCGCCGACCCCUACGGCACCGACUUCUCCCCGCCGCCUGCGCCGUCCCCCAAGCCGUCUCCUUCCGUUCCGCCGCCACCGAUGCGCGAGCAGGCGGUCGAUUCCUAUGCUGGCCGCGGGGGAGAGAUACGAGAAGAGGACGGCGCCGGCGCUGCUCUCCGGGCGCACUUGCUUGCCGACUUCAAGGCCGCGCUGUCUAAGAAGGUGGUGAACAUGGGGGAGCUGCGGAGACUCGCCUGCCUUGGCGUGCCAGAUGGCGGCGGCACGGACGUACGACCGCUCGUGUGGAAGUGUGCAGCUUCUCUUGGGGUAUUUGCCAACUGAACGCUCUUUAUGGCCUUAUGAACUAGAAAAGAAGCGAAGCCAGUACAGUGCAUAUAAAGAUGAGUUUCUUCUAAAUCCUUCAGAAAAAUUACGUAGAAUCGAGGAAUCAAAGUUGUCAAGAAAGAAAGAAUUAACUGGUGAAAGGAAUGGCUUGCUCCCAAGGUCAGAAGUAACUAAUGAAGAGCAUCCUUUGAGCUUUGGUAAAUCUAGCUUGUGGAACCAAUACUUCCAGGAAUCAGAGAUCCUGGAGCAGAUAGACCGAGAUGUGAAGCGAACACAUCCAGACAAGUCGUUUUUUUCUGCCAAGUCUAACCAGGAAUCACUAAGGCGUAUUCUCAUUAUAUUUUCAAGAUUAUACCCUAGUGUAAGAUAUGUGCAAGGGUUGAAUGAAGUUUUGGCACCUCUAUUUUACGUAUUGAAGAAUGACCUUGACACAAGUAACUCGACUUCAGCUGAAGCAGACACUUUCUUUUGCUUUGUUGAAUUGAUUAGUGGCUUUAAAAACAACUAUUGUAAACAUCUUGACAACAGCCUGGUGGGUAUUCGGUCUAUACUUUCAAAGUUGUCUCAACUCUUAAAGAAACAUGACGAAGAGCUAUGGCGUCAUAUGGAGGUCAUUACAAAGGUGUACCCGCAAUACUAUGCAUUUAGAUGGAUUACAUUACUGUUGACAAUGGAGUUCAGCUUCAAUGUGUGUAUUCACAUCUGGGAUGCCAUGUUAGGCGAUCCCGAAGGUCCUCCGGACACCUUGCUGAGGAUAUGCUGUGCUAUGCUCAUUCUUGUCCGGAAGCGGCUCCUGGUUGGAGAUUUCACCGCCAAUAUCCAGCUGCUGCAGCACUACCCGCAAACUAACAUAGAUCACCUCCUCCACAUCGCUAACAGAUUGAGAGGAACCAUGCCCAGCUAGUGAUUGGGAUGCCAUCUUGUCUGUGUGGUGUUCAUCCGGGCACAACUACAUGUAUGUACAUUGGACCCUGUCCAUGAGGUGUAUCAUGACAUCAUGCCAAGUUUCAUCUUGUUCUCUUCAUUUAUGUUCACUUUAAAUUCAAAAACUGAAAACUCCAAGUAUGUACGUAUUUGAUUUUUCUCUGUGUGUGUUUACGGAGUUGUGUGGUGGAGGCACUAGAUUUUGUUUACUAAAUAUAAUGGCAAGAAAAAAGCACAGGAGUGGUGGGCCCUACAAAAUAUCCGCCACUAGUAAC